Molecule: ribosomal RNA, 500 nt
Filed under: uncultured bacterium
Lineage: Bacteria
Description: bacterial SSU rRNA
Rfam family: Bacterial small subunit ribosomal RNA
Source: RNAcentral
UCAGGAUGAACGCUAGCGGCAGGCUUAACACAUGCAAGUCAGGGGCAUCGGGAGUAGCAAUACUGCCGGCGACCGGCGCAAGGGUGCGUAACGCGUGAGCAACAUGCCCGUAUCAGGGGGGAUAAUCCAUGGAAACGUGGUCUAAUACCCCAUAGUAAUUAUGUAAGGCAUCUUAUAUAAUUUAAAGCUUUGGUGGAUACGGAUUGGCUCGCGUGACAUUAGCUGGAUGGUAAGGUAACGGCUUACCAUGGCUACGAUGUCUAGGGGUUCUGAGAGGAAGGUCCCCCACACUGGAACUGAGACACGGUCCAGACUCCUACGGGAGGCAGCAGUGAGGAAUAUUGGACAAUGGAUGGAAAUCUGAUCCAGCCAUGCCGCGUGCAGGAAGAACCGGCCCUAUGGGUUGUAAACUGCUUUUGUAUGGGAGCAAUAAGGGCUACGUGUAGUCCGAUGAGAGUACCAUACGAAUAAGCACCGGCUAACUCCGUGCCAGCAGCUGC